AAAUCAAAUGAGACUAUUGGUCUCGUAUUGGGCGUCGCCUCUGGGCGUAGCCUCGAUGCCAUCGGUCUAAUGAGUGGGCGAGUUCCUCUAGGGCGGACCACUCGUGGCCUGACGACUUCUG
RNAcentral lists this unclassified non-coding RNA (121 nucleotides) under uncultured Archaeorhizomycetes. RNAcentral describes it as "sequence contains ITS2". Lineage: Eukaryota; Fungi; Ascomycota; Archaeorhizomycetes. The record is from RNAcentral.